RNAcentral lists this ribosomal RNA (525 nucleotides) under uncultured bacterium. Its description in RNAcentral is "bacterial SSU rRNA". It matches the Rfam family "Bacterial small subunit ribosomal RNA", at positions 355 to 896 of the family's 1533-position model. The record is from RNAcentral.
CAAGGAAUUUUGGGCAAUGGGCGAAAGCCUGACCCAGCGACACCGCGUGAGGGAAUAAGGCCUUCGGGUUGUAAACCUCUUUUCCUGGGGAAGAAUCUCGACGGUACCCAGGGAAUAAGCCUCGGCCAACUACGUGCCAGCAGCCGCGGUAAUACGUAGGAGGCAAACGUUAUUCGGAUUUACUGGGCGUAAAGGGAGCGUAGGCGGUUCCCUAGUCGGAUGUGAAAUCUUCUGGCUCAAUCAGAAGGCGCCAUUUGAUACUGAGGAACUUGAGAGCAGCAGAGGGAAAUGGAAUCUGCAGUGUAGCGGUGAAAUGCGUAGAUAUUGCAGAGAACACCAGUGGCGAAGGCGGUUUCCCAGGCUGUUUCUGACGCUGAGGCUCGAAAGCGUGGGGAGCGAAGCGGAUUAGAUACCCGCGUAGUCCACGCCCUAAACGGUGGACACUAGAUAUAGGAGGUAUCGACCCUUUCUGUGUCGAAGCUAACGCUUUAAGUGUCCCGCCUGGGGAGUACGGCCGCAAGGCUG